CUUUACCAUAAAAUUGAGAAUGGAAAUGGGGAAUGUGUCAAAGAGACAACAACCCGACCAAAUAAAAAAACAACAGCAGAGGGUCACCAACAGGUCUUCAAUGUAGCGAGAAAUUCCCGCACCCGGAGGCGUCCUUCAGCUGGCCCCUUAACAAAUAUAUACUAGUCCAGUGAUAAUGAACGCCAUACUAAUUUCCAAAUUGUACACAAGAAACUAAAAUUAAAAUAAUACAAGACUAACAAAGGCCAGAGGCUCCUGACUUGGGACAGGCGCAAAAAUGCGGCGGGGUUAAACAUGUUUGUGAGAUCUCAACCCUCCCACUAUACCUCUAACCAAUGUAGUAAAGUAAACGCAUAACAAUACGCACAUUAAAAUUCAGUUCAAGAGAAAUCCGAGUCUUAUGUCAGAAGAUGUAACCAAAGAAAAUAAACAAAAUGACAAUAAUACAUAAAUAACUACAGACUACUAGCAGUUAACUGACAUGCCAGCUCCAGACUUCAAUUAAACUGACUGAAAGAUUAUGAUUUCAUCAUAUGAACAUCAGGCACAAUCCUUCCCGUUAGGGGUUUAGUAUCAUACCAUCAUAACAUAUAUGAGAAGAACAUAACCUGUGUCAUGCCAACAACUGUUUUUAGAAUAAAUGUGUUUAGUUCCGAUGCAAAGACCUUAUCAGUGACUCAAUAUUAACGCCAA
Molecule: long non-coding RNA, 693 nt
Filed under: Mytilus galloprovincialis (Mediterranean mussel)
Lineage: Eukaryota; Metazoa; Mollusca; Bivalvia; Mytilida; Mytilidae
Source: RNAcentral